Long non-coding RNA from Agrilus planipennis (emerald ash borer), 698 nucleotides. RefSeq lists it as uncharacterized. The transcript is spliced from 4 exons. NCBI's taxonomy places the organism in Eukaryota, Metazoa, Arthropoda, Insecta, Coleoptera, Buprestidae. The record is from RefSeq and is a predicted model, not a curated record.
UUUCGCAGAUUCUUCCUCCAAAUUACUAGAAUUCCAUUGGUGUCGAUAUGAUAAAGGACUUACAGUGCUCGCAUGUGGUGAACAACUAUUUCCGAAACGUAUUGUACUUUUUUGUGUGAUGAUGGUGCCUGUAGUAACUUCGUCAACUCCAGGAGUCAGGAAUUAGUCAUUUGCGUACGGUACAUCUGAAUUGGCAAACGUCCGGUUCCCAAGAAGUCAUUGCAACAAGUGGAAUUUGUGUAAAACAAAUUUCGAGAUUUUAAUUGGUCAAAGUGGUAGCGAAGAGGGUCGCAUCUAGCAGGCUACUGUCAUCUCAGAGACCGGUGUCCAGACCGUGAGAAUAUCCGAUCCUUAAGAAAGAUAAUAGUGGAUGCAAAAGUGUAAACAUCUUUUGAAAACACUUGUGUAUUUGGAACGAGGUGUUAAUAAGCGAAACACACAGAUCUGUUGGCGCAACAGUUUCCAUAGAUGCGGUAGAUAUGGUGAUAAAAAUAUCUACAUUCCAUGUCUCUAAUAUUUAAGGAUCAUCUCAUUCUCCAGUUCUUCUUGACGGCGUGAAAAAGAGUGGAUUGGAGAUUAUCCAGAGACCUUGAAACCAUCUAUGCAUGUAAGUGUUUUAUUGCUUUCUGUAGUUAUUGCUAGUAGGUUAUUUAUACGAUUAUUCCCUUUAAUUCCUUACUAUUGUAAAGGAUAGGGGC